Molecule: ribosomal RNA, 452 nt
Filed under: uncultured Sphingomonas sp.
Lineage: Bacteria; Pseudomonadati; Pseudomonadota; Alphaproteobacteria; Sphingomonadales; Sphingomonadaceae
Description: bacterial SSU rRNA
Rfam family: Bacterial small subunit ribosomal RNA
Source: RNAcentral
UCUAGUGGCGCACGGGUGCGUAACGCGUGGGAAUCUGCCCUUGGGUUCGGGAUAACAGUUGGAAACGACUGCUAAUACCGGAUGAUGUCCUCGGACCAAAGAUUUAUCGCCCAAGGAUGAGCCCGCGUAGGAUUAGCUUGUUGGUGAGGUAAGAGCUCACCAAGGCGACGAUCCUUAGCUGGUCUGAGAGGAUGAUCAGCCACACUGGGACUGAGACACGGCCCAGACUCCUACGGGAGGCAGCAGUGGGGAAUAUUGGACAAUGGGCGAAAGCCUGAUCCAGCAAUGCCGCGUGAGUGAUGAAGGCCUUAGGGUUGUAAAGCUCUUUUACCCGGGAUGAUAAUGACAGUACCGGGAGAAUAAGCCCCGGCUAACUCCGUGCCAGCAGCCGCGGUAAUACGGAGGGGGCUAGCGUUGUUCGGAAUUACUGGGCGUAAAGCGCGCGUAGGCGG